CCCUAUUAUUUUUGAAUGUUAAUUGUUUUGCCUGAGUAGUAUUAGUUAUGUUCUUGAAACUUAAAGAAUUUGGCGGUAUCUUAUUCCGUCCAGAGGAAUCUGCCCCGUUAUCGAUAGUCCGCGUUGGACCUUACUUGGUUGCUUUGGUUUGUAUACCGCCGUUUAUUGUUUAUCUUUUUAGAGUUAAAAAUUUUCUGGUUUCUUUAUUUUGAUUUAUUUCAGGUCAAGGUGCAGCUUGUUUCUAAGUGGAUGGUGGAUUACAUUGUUAUUCGUUUUAUUGGAUUGCUUGGUUUAGAUUUAUUGGCAUGAAAUUGGAUUUGGUUGUAAUGUUUUGUAGAUUGUUUUCGUGAUAAAUGGUUCUGAGAUAUGCACACAUCGCCCGUCGCUCUCGUUUGAGUUGUUAAUGAGAUAAGUC
RNAcentral lists this ribosomal RNA (415 nucleotides) under Foraminitermes valens. RNAcentral's name for it is "partial 12S ribosomal RNA". The record is from RNAcentral. Lineage: Eukaryota; Metazoa; Arthropoda; Insecta; Blattodea; Termitidae.